GCCGGAAUAGUUCAGUUGGUA
RNAcentral lists this transfer RNA (21 nucleotides) under Pohlia bolanderi. RNAcentral's name for it is "partial tRNA-Phe". The record is from RNAcentral. Lineage: Eukaryota; Viridiplantae; Streptophyta; Bryopsida; Bryales; Mniaceae.